CCUACGGGAGGCAGCAGUGGGGAAUAUUGCACAAUGGGCGCAAGCCUGAUGCAGCCAUGCCGCGUGUGUGAAGAAGGCCUUAGGGUUGUAAAGCACUUUCAGCAGUGAGGAAAGGUGUGUCGUUAAUAGCGGCAUACUGUGACGUUAACUGCAGAAGAAGGACCGGCUAACUCCGUGCCAGCAGCCGCGGUAAU
Molecule: ribosomal RNA, 194 nt
Filed under: uncultured bacterium
Lineage: Bacteria
Description: partial 16S ribosomal RNA
Rfam family: Bacterial small subunit ribosomal RNA
Source: RNAcentral